GACAGAGGCCUCAAGCGUUAGGCGGAAUCACUGGGCUUAAAGGCGUGUGUAGGCGGAUCGUUAAAGUGUCAUUGUCGGAAAUCCCACGGCUCACCCGUGGAACUGCUGGGCAUACUGGCGAUCUUGGGCCAACUAGGGGCAACUGGAACAAGCGGUGGAGCGGUGAAAUGCGUAGAUAUCGCUUGGAACGCCAAAGGUGAAAACAG
RNAcentral lists this ribosomal RNA (206 nucleotides) under uncultured bacterium. Its description in RNAcentral is "partial 16S ribosomal RNA". It matches the Rfam family "Bacterial small subunit ribosomal RNA", at positions 524 to 724 of the family's 1533-position model. The record is from RNAcentral.